GGAAUAUUGGACAAUGGGCGAAAGCCUGAUCCAGCAAUGCCGCGUGUGUGAAGAAGGCCUUCGGGUUGUAAAGCACUUUAAGCAGGGAAGAAAAAGCACGACCUAACACGUCGAGCCUUGACGGUACCUGCAGAAGAAGCCCCGGCCAACUACGUGCCGGCAGCCGCGGUAACACGCAGGGGGCGAGCGUUGUCCGGAUUUAUUGGGCGUAAAGAGCUCGUAGGCGGUUUCGUAAGUCGGGUGUGAAAACCCCAGGCUCAACCUGGGGACGCCACCCGAUACUGCGAUGACUAGAGUCCGGUAGGGGAGUGUGGAAUUCCUGGUGUAGCGGUGAAAUGCGCAGAUAUCAGGAGGAACACCAACGGCGAAGGCAGCACUCUGGGCCGGAACUGACGCUGAGGAGCGAAAGCGUGGGUAGCGAAC
RNAcentral lists this ribosomal RNA (423 nucleotides) under uncultured bacterium. RNAcentral describes it as "bacterial SSU rRNA". It matches the Rfam family "Bacterial small subunit ribosomal RNA", at positions 358 to 773 of the family's 1533-position model. The record is from RNAcentral.